UGGUUUGCGCGGCAGGCGUAUCAUGCAGUCGAGCGAUGCGAUGAGGAGCUUGCUCUUAUGAGAUUAGCGGCGGACGGGUGAGUAACGUGUGGGUAUCCUGCCCAUAAGACUGGAAUAACUCCGGGAAACCGGGGCUAAUACCGGAUAACAUUUUGAACCGCAUGGUUCGAAAUUGAAAGGCGGCUUCGGCUGUCGCUUAUGGAUGGACCCGCGUCGCAUUAGCUAGUUGGUGAGGUAACGGCUCACCAAGGCAACGAUGCGUAGCCGACCUGAGAGGGUGAUCGGCCACACUGGGACUGAGACACGGCCCAGACUCCUACGGGAGGCAGCAGUAGGGAAUCUUCCGCAAUGGACGAAAGUCUGACGGAGCAACGCCGCGUGAGUGAUGAAGGCUUUCGGGUCGUAAAACUCUGUUGUUAGGGAAGAACAAGUGCUAGUUGAAUAAGCUGGCACCUUGACGGUACCUAACCAGAAAGCCACGGCUAACUACGUGCCAGCAGCCGCGGUAAUACGUAGGUGGCAAGCGUUUCCGGAAUUAUUGGGCGUAAAGCGCACGCAGGUGGUUUCUUAAGUCUGAUGUGAAAGCCCACGGCUCAACCGUGGAGGGUCAUUGGAAACUGGGAGACUUGAGUGCAGAAGAGGAAAGUGGAAUUCCAUGUGUAGCGGUGAAAUGCGUAGAGAUAUGGAGGAACACCAGUGGCGAAGGCGACUUCUUGUUCAUAGACUGCCGCUCAGGUGCGAAAGCGUGGGGAGCAACCAGGAUUAGAUACCUUGGUAGUCCACGCGGUAAACGAUGUCGAUUAGAAGUUGGUUGCUUUCGGCCGUUACUUUUGGAGUUAACGCGUUAAAUCGUCCGCCUGGGGAGUACGGCCGCAAGGUUGAAACUCAAAUGAAUUGACGGGGGCCCGCACAAGCGGUGGAGCAUGUGGUUUAAUUCGAAGCAACGCGAAGAACCUUACCUAGUCUUGACAUCCUUAGACAACCCCAGAGAUAGGGUUUUUCCUUCGGGAACUCUGAGACAGGGGGGGGCAUGGUUGUUGUCAGCUCGUGUUGUGAAAUGUUGGGUUAAGUCCCGCAACGAGCGCAACCCUUAUCUUUUGUUGCCCUCGAUUCGGUCGGGAACUCAAAGGAGACUGCCGGUGAUAAACCGGAGGAAGGUGGGGAUGACGUCAAUUCAUCAUGCCCCUUAGGCCUAGGGUUACACACGUGUUCCAAUGGCGUAUACAAAGAGAAGCAACCCCGCGAGAGCAAGCGAAAUUCAUAAACCAUUUUCUAGUCCGGAUUGGAGUUUGCAAUUGGCCUCCAUGAAGUGGGAAUCGUUGGUAAUGGUAGAUCACAAUGCUCCGGUGAAUAGUUUCCCGGCCUUGGUACACACCGCCCGUCACACCAUGGGAGUGGGACCACAGGAAGUAGGUGGGUUACCCUUCGGAACCACCCGCUACAUAGUGAUCCGGCUUGGUG
This 1461-nucleotide ribosomal RNA is filed under the name Enterobacter mori. Its description in RNAcentral is "partial 16S ribosomal RNA". It matches the Rfam family "Bacterial small subunit ribosomal RNA". The record is from RNAcentral. Lineage: Bacteria; Pseudomonadati; Pseudomonadota; Gammaproteobacteria; Enterobacterales; Enterobacteriaceae.